ACUGACAUACCUUUCUUAGUUGGCUGGGCCCCCACAUGGAUUCCAUCCUAGAGGCCUAAGGUUGACCUAGGUCAAGUGUCACUUCAUCUGGCCUAGCUCAAUUCUUAUGCUCGGAGUAGUUCUUUAGCCCAAUCUCUUCUCUAAUUAAACUUGGAUCUUUCAUGAUCCAUUAAAUGAGAGAAUAACAAAUUGAAAUGUUAUUCCAAAUAACCA
This 213-nucleotide long non-coding RNA is filed under the name Elaeis guineensis (African oil palm). RNAcentral's name for it is "long non-coding RNA (EGUI_LNC030237)". Lineage: Eukaryota; Viridiplantae; Streptophyta; Magnoliopsida; Arecales; Arecaceae. The record is from RNAcentral.